Molecule: ribosomal RNA, 274 nt
Filed under: uncultured bacterium
Lineage: Bacteria
Description: partial 16S ribosomal RNA
Rfam family: Bacterial small subunit ribosomal RNA
Source: RNAcentral
AUACGGAGGGUGCAAGCGUUAUUCGGAAUCACUGGGCGUAAAGGGUGCGUAGGCGGAUAAUCAAGUCAAAAGUGAAAUCCCACGGCUUAACCGUGGAACUGCUUUCGAAACUGGUUAUCUAGAAUAUGGAAGAGGCAGAUGGAAUUAGUGGUGUAGGGGUAAAAUCCGUAGAGAUCACUAGGAAUACCGAUUGCGAAGGCGAUCUGCUGGGACAUUAUUGACGCUAAGGCAUGAAAGCGUGGGGAGCAAACAGGAUUAGAAACCCUAGUAGUCC